RNAcentral lists this ribosomal RNA (351 nucleotides) under uncultured bacterium. Its description in RNAcentral is "bacterial SSU rRNA". It matches the Rfam family "Bacterial small subunit ribosomal RNA", at positions 8 to 350 of the family's 1533-position model. The record is from RNAcentral.
AGAGUUUGAUCAUGGCUCAGGAUGAACGCUAGCUACAGGCUUAACACAUGCAAGUCGAGGGGCAUCAGUUUGGUUUGCUUGUAAACCAAAGCUGGCGACCGGCGCACGGGUGAGUAACACGUAUCCAACCUGCCUCAUACUCGGGGAUAGCCUUUCGAAAGAAAGAUUAAUAUCCGAUAGCAUAUAUUUCCCGCAUGGGUUUUAUAUUAAAGAAAUUCGGUAUGAGAUGGGGAUGCGUUCCAUUAGUUUGUUGGCGGGGUAACGGCCCACCAAGACUACGAUGGAUAGGGGUUCUGAGAGGAAGGUCCCCCANAUUGGAACUGAGACACGGUCCAAACUCCUACGGAGGCA